AUUGAACGCUGGCGGCAGGCCUAACACAUGCAAGUCGAGCGGUAGAGAGAAGCUUGCUUCUCUUGAGAGCGGCGGACGGGUGAGUAAUGCCUAGGAAUCUGCCUGGUAGUGGGGGAUAACGUUCGGAAACGGACGCUAAUACCGCAUACGUCCUACGGGAGAAAGCAGGGGACCUUCGGGCCUUGCGCUAUCAGAUGAGCCUAGGUCGGAUUAGCUAGUUGGUGGGGUAAUGGCUCACCAAGGCGACGAUCCGUAACUGGCCUGAGAGGAUGAUCAGUCACACUGGAACUGAGACACGGUCCAGACUCCUACGGGAGGCAGCAGUGGGGAAUAUUGGACAAUGGGCGAAAGCCUGAUCCAGCCAUGCCGCGUGUGUGAAGAAGGUCUUCGGAUUGUAAAGCACUUUAAGUUGGGAGGAAGGGCAGUAAAUUAAUACUUUGCUGUUUUGACGUUACCGACAGAAUAAGCACCGGCUAACUCUGUG
Molecule: ribosomal RNA, 484 nt
Filed under: uncultured bacterium
Lineage: Bacteria
Description: partial 16S ribosomal RNA
Rfam family: Bacterial small subunit ribosomal RNA
Source: RNAcentral